UACGGAGGGUGCAAGCGUUGUUCGGAAUUAUUGGGCGUAAAGGGCAGGUAGGUGGUCUGGUAAGUCUACUGUGAAAUCCCCGGGCUUAACUCGGGAAGUGCGGUGGAUACUGGAUGGCUUGAGUUUGGGAGAGGGAUGCGGAAUUCCAGGUGUAGCGGUGAAAUGCGUAGAUAUCUGGAGGAACACCGGUGGCGAAGGCGGCAUCCUGGACCAACACUGACGCUGAGUGAGCGAAAGCCAGGGGAGCAAACGGG
This 254-nucleotide ribosomal RNA is filed under the name uncultured bacterium. RNAcentral's name for it is "partial 16S ribosomal RNA". It matches the Rfam family "Bacterial small subunit ribosomal RNA", at positions 524 to 776 of the family's 1533-position model. The record is from RNAcentral.